UGGGAAAUUUAGUAAAAGACAAAAGAUUUCUUUGUCUUUGGGAAAAUUAUUUCCCUCAUCAAGCAUGCAGGGUCGAAUUAGAAGACAAAGAAAUCUUUUGUUUUCAACUAAAUUUCCCG
Paramuricea clavata is the source of this 119-nucleotide non-coding RNA. Lineage: Eukaryota; Metazoa; Cnidaria; Anthozoa; Malacalcyonacea; Plexauridae. The record is from the annotation of a GenBank genome assembly.